GGUUGGAAAGAGAUUGCAGUUCAGUGGUAGAGCAUCUGCCUCACAUGCAGAAGGACUCAGGUUCAUUCCCCAGUAUCCAGUUA
This 83-nucleotide transfer RNA is filed under the name Sphaerodactylus townsendi. RNAcentral's name for it is "tRNA-Val". The stretch from base 10 to 78 matches the Rfam family "tRNA". Rfam says of the family: Transfer RNA (tRNA) molecules are approximately 80 nucleotides in length. Their secondary structure includes four short double-helical elements and three loops (D, anti-codon, and T loops). Further hydrogen bonds mediate the characteristic L-shaped molecular structure. tRNAs have two regions of fundamental functional importance: the anti-codon, which is responsible for specific mRNA codon recognition, and the 3' end, to which the tRNAs corresponding amino acid is attached (by aminoacyl-tRNA synthetases). tRNAs cope with the degeneracy of the genetic code in two manners: having more than one tRNA (with a specific anti-codon) for a particular amino acid; and 'wobble' base-pairing, i.e. permitting non-standard base-pairing at the 3rd anti-codon position. The record is from RNAcentral. Lineage: Eukaryota; Metazoa; Chordata; Lepidosauria; Squamata; Sphaerodactylidae.